GCAGGGCAAAGCCGGAGGAAACUCUGGUGGAGGUCCGUAGUGGUCCUGAUGUGCUCAUCAGUCAUCCGAC
RNAcentral lists this non-coding RNA (70 nucleotides) under Bos taurus (domestic cattle). Its description in RNAcentral is "Eukaryotic large subunit ribosomal RNA". It matches the Rfam family "Eukaryotic large subunit ribosomal RNA", at positions 841 to 910 of the family's 3401-position model. The record is from Rfam by way of RNAcentral. RNAcentral also lists the same sequence under 2 other names. Lineage: Eukaryota; Metazoa; Chordata; Mammalia; Artiodactyla; Bovidae.